CAGUAGAGGCUGUGGGGAGCUGGGGCAGAGGGGGAUGGGGUUAGUGUUUGCAAGGUUUGGGUUUCACUAUGGGAAGAUAGAAAAGCUCUAGAGAUGGAUGGGGUGAUGGUGCCACAUCAUGUAUGCACUGUGCCACUGAGCUAUACACUUAAAAAUCGUUAAAGUAGUGCAUUUUGUGUUUUGUUAUAUUUUUAAGAAAAGAGCAAAUCCAGCACCCAAGCACUGACUGUAGAGUCAGAGAAGAGAGUGACAAAUCACUUCAUCUACUCACCUCCUUUUAUUAACAAGGGAACCAGGACCCACGGAAGUGCCUCCCCAGGUCACAGAGCUGGUUAGUGACAAGCCUGCUCUAACUCCCGCUCUCCUGCUGCUUCCAUUACACUGGAGAAUCCAUUUCUCCCUGACGUGAUGCCCUCCCACAUGUCCCCACUGCCCCCAAUGCAGGAGGCCAGCACAAGGCUGUGAGUGGAUGUAGUGAUGCCACAGUCACCCGUCCUCAGCCCAAUAUCCGUUCCACCAUCUUUGAAGAUUUCCCUUCAGCCUCUUCCCUUAGUGAAGGCCUGGUUUCCAGACAGCCACCAAGGAAGCAGGACUGAGAACAGCGGUGCUGGGAUCCAUCCUCACCUAGAGGUGUCCAGUGAGGGACUAGGCCCAGCUGGCCCUGUGUGGCCCAGUGGAUGGAUGAGCUUAUUUUAUUUUGAUAAAAUAGAUGAUACUUUGAUGAGUUCACCAGGUGAGCCUUCAUCAUGGGAUCUGAGGAUAUAAAUCCCUCUCUCCCUCUGUCUCUCCCUCCGUCCUUCCCUCUCUCCCUCUCCUACUUGAGGACACAAUAAGAAAGUAGCCAUCUUCAAGCCAGGACCAGCACGUGAGAGAGUAAAGUUCUGCUGUUUAAGCAGUCCAGCCCUUGGUUUUGUCAUGAAAGUCCAGACUGGCUAAGGCAGAGCUGGAAGCCCAAAAUUAGUGCUGACAGAGUUUCUUCUCGCCAGAGGCUCUGAGAAAGAUGCUCUUCCAUGCCUUGCUUCUAGCACCUGUUGCCAUUCCUCGGCCAUGGCAGCGUAACUCCAGUCUCUGUCCCAUCUUCACAGCCUUUGUCCCUGUGUCUUUAUGUUGCCUCCUUUUCUGUCUCUAUAAGGACCUUUGUCGUUGGAUUUAGGGUCAACUCGCAAUCCAGGAUGAUCUCAUCACAAGAUCCUGAGCUUAAUUCAUCUGCAGCCAGGUGCAUGCCUGUAAUCUCAGCCCUCUGGGAGCCUGAGACAGAAGGAUCAAAAGUUUGAUCUGGCCUGCCUGAUCAACGACUUAGUGACACAGCAAGACCCUGUCUCAAAAUGAAAAAUUUUAAAAAGGCUGAGGAUGUAGCUCAAUGUGAAGGCCCUGGGUUCAAUCCCUAGUACUGCAAAAACGAAAACCAAAUGGAGUCCUGAGAGAAGCUGUGGGCAGACAUCAUCUUUCCAGAAGCCCUGAAGAGAGCCGGAGGGCAGAGCGCCCUGAGCUCACCUCGGACUCGCCCGGAGCUCCGCCCUUCCCUUAGCCCACCUGGACGGAAAGGAAACGGACGGGCAGCUCGGGCCACGCCUCUCACUGUGGGCCCCGCGACAUUUCCGGGCUGGGAGAAGCCGAAGCCCGUAACCUCCAGUUCCCCGCAGCUUGAGGCCACCAGCGCCUGGAGAUUUUCAAACACACUCAAAGAGCUGGGAGGAGCCUGGCGGGGCCACGAAGGAGGGCAGUACUGACUCAUCACGAACCUCCAGGGCCCGGAGCCAGGGCGGCCUGGGCCCAGAGCCUCAGUCCCCUGCAGCCAGGUCAGCAGGAAACUGUCCCCCAAGCCCUCCUGCGCCAAAGAGAGGGCCUUUGGAAGGUGCUUGGAUGGUGGGGGCCACAGCCCAGUGUGCUGUUAGGAGGUGGGAACAAGGCCCCACUGGGGGCCUCCCUCCCCCGCUCCUCCCUUCCCACUCUGCUUCUGGCCUCGAGAGCUCCUUUGCCUCCGCCCUGCCCCUGUGCCAGCCUCCUUCUCCCUGGAGACCCGCAGCGCAAACCCCUGGCUGAAACCGUGAACCAAAAUAAGCCUCCCCUCCUUUAAGCAUGGGAUAUUGUGUCCCAGUGACCAGGACAGUGACUGAGGAACCCAAAGGGACAUCUGGUGACAUCUGAAUCAGUGAGCACUUUAGUCACUGGUACUGAACCUGUCUUUUUGCUGAGGUGCUGACGGUGGGCAGGCGCUGUACCCUCAGCCACAUCCGCAGCCGCACAACCAGGAUCGCCUCGUGUUUACAAAUGUACGGCGGCUGUGCCAACAGUAGGGGGAGCUGGCGGGCGAAUACAUGGGAACUCUAUUUUCAAUCUGUCAAUCUAAUAUCAUCCUUCCCCCAGAGCUUAUUAACAGUCAGAGCUGGGAAGGCAGAGGAGUGGAAAGAAAAAGGCAGAAAUGGAGAGGAUGUGGAGAAAUUGGAAACCCGGGUCUUGCUGGUGGGAAUGUAAAAUAGUGCAGCUGCUAUGCAAAAUACUUUGGCAGUUUCCCAAGAAAUUACACACGAAUGGUCCAGCAUUGCGCUUCUAGGUGUAUGUCGAAAGGAACUGAAAGCAGGGACUUGCACAGAUAUUUGAACGCAAUGUACAUAGCAGCAUUAUUCACAACAGCCAAAAGAAGGAAGCAACCCAGGAACCCAUCAGCACACGGCGGAUAAAGGAAAUGUAAUAUACAUAUCAUGGAGUAUCGGCCUUCAAAAGGACUGAGAUUUUGACAUGGAGAGUUCUUAAAGACAUUAUGCUAAGUGAAAUAUGCUAAUGUGAAGGGUUACAGGAACUACUCCAAGGAGAUGCUGGGAAGUAGCCUGGGAAUGGCCAUCCCUCUCCCAUCAUUUCUCUUCCCUCAAUCCUGCUUCAGCUUCUGUCAGCCUGUGAAGGUCCUGCAGAGUGAGGUUAAGAUCGCACCUGACUGACCAUCUCAAAAAAGAACCAGAACAAUCUCCUUGUGCUUUCCCUGAGCUGGUGAAGCUGGUAAAAAUCACUGAAAAUGAGGAAAGUAAAUUAACACAAGGAAGAAGCAGGACAAGGGGGAUUCUGUCCUCCUGACUACUGAGUUAACUGCAAUGAAAACAAAGUACAAAGGACUGCUAGUUCUGUGCAUAUAUUUACAUAGAAAUGUGCAAUUUUUUUUAAAAGGGGCCUUCCUGGUGUUUCUUUACUUAUGGGUUUAAUUUUUUAUCUCCUCAAUGUCCACCAGGAGGGCUCUGUUAAUAUUUACGUCGUGGGCCUUCCUGAGGAUGAGUUCAUUUCAGUCAUUGCUAAUCAACAGCCUUACUAUGAUGUCUUCUUUAUCCUGUAACAUUCCUAUUAUCCCUAACUCUUCAAAAAUACUCUUAGGAUAUUUUAGCAAGUGCCCUCUUCACCUUUUAAAGAGUUGUCUCCAGAUUGUUCAUAUUUGAAUAGCAUUUUAAAAACAAAUAUCAAUUGCCACAAUAAAUAAAUAAUGUAAACAAAUUCAACCUUCCCUGGCCUCUGCAAUGACUUCCAAUUUCACAGUUCAAAGCAUGGAAAUAAUUAUUCAAAAAACAGGGAAGCAGGGGCUGGGGAUUUAGCUCAGUGGUUCUGGUA
Non-coding RNA from Heterocephalus glaber (naked mole-rat), 3591 nucleotides. The record is from RefSeq and is a predicted model, not a curated record. Lineage: Eukaryota; Metazoa; Chordata; Mammalia; Rodentia; Bathyergidae.